UACGGGGGGGGCAAGCGUUGUUCGGAAUUACUGGGCGUAAAGGGCUCGUAGGUGGCCAACUAAGUCAGACGUGAAAUCCCUCAGCUUAACUGGGGAACUGCGUCUGAUACUGGAUGGCUUGAGUUUGGGAGAGGGAUGCGGAAUUCCAGGUGUAGCGGUGAAAUGCGUAGAUAUGUGGAGGAAUACCGAUGGCGAAGGCAGCCUCCUGGGCCAACACUGACGCUCAUGCACGAAAGCGUGGGGAGCAAACAGG
RNAcentral lists this ribosomal RNA (253 nucleotides) under uncultured bacterium. RNAcentral's name for it is "partial 16S ribosomal RNA". It matches the Rfam family "Bacterial small subunit ribosomal RNA", at positions 524 to 776 of the family's 1533-position model. The record is from RNAcentral.